GUCGGGACGAGCUGGGCGGCGGCGGGCGGCUGCCCCACGUGCGGAGACGGCGCCCGGCCGCCCCGCGGAGCCCGCCUCGCCCGGCGCGGAGGACCAGGGCCACGCGGCCUCGGGACCAACUUCCCGACUUCGUGCUCCUCUCGGAACAGAGUCGCCGCUUCCAAAGUGAAGCCAGCCUAGGUUUGAUCAACGCAUGCCCUGGAUUUGGUGGAGGCCCUGUGAAUUGGUUUGCCUUUUAUGGACAUUUCAUGAAAAUGGAAUGAUACGAUAUGUGGCUUGCGUUACUGAGCGUCAUGUUUUUGAGGUUCAUCCGUGUUGUAGCAUGGAAGAUUCCUUUUGCUGAGGAAGAUUGGCUUUGAGCUAACAUCUGUACUUGCCUGUAACGCCUGCCACAGCAUGACUUGAUGAGCGGUGCGUAGGUCCACGCCUGGAAUCCAAACCUGUGAACCCCCCAGGUGCCGAAGUGGAGUGUGCAAACUUAACUGCUAUGCCACCAGCAGAAGAGCCUUUGAGUGAAGACCUGGGAACUUGGAAAAGACUUCUUACUCCGUUACACUUGGGGACAACUUGGGACAUUUUGUGGUACUCCAUGAGGAGGUAUUUGAACAGCUGCCUACGCAGAGGCGAGGGAGGGAGCCUUGCCUUCCUAACUGGAGGAAUAUGACUGUGUGCACAGAGGAGGGCCGCACCUUGGACCCCAACUUUUAGCGGCUGGGGGAGCUGCAGGAUGGAGCACAGAAGCUUGUUUGCUGGCUGCAGAAUCUUGCGCCUACACCCUAGAGCUAGUGUCAUGGCCUCAAGACUUCUUGAACAAGAGAGUUACACCAGAAUCUUUAAGAAGAUCUCAGGCACAUCUCUGAUGUAGCCACAUAGAGCCCAAAGGUUGCAGUGCCGAGGGACUCGCUCCCGGGUUCUCGUCUGUGAGAACCACUCCAAAGGGACCCAGGGCACCUUGUGGCCAUCGAGCUCUCUGUUGGGACCAGUAGCAGCCUCCUGAGGGGACUGCAGAGUCCUGCCCUCGAGGAACUUACAGGGGGGAACCAGUUGUAGCUGACACGCACUGAGCUUCAGACCCUGUAACUAAUGCUGUCACGGAUCAUGUCCUUUAAUCUGCGCAGCCACCUGAUGAGGUUGGACAAUUACUUCCCCCUUUUUAGAGAUGAGGAGAUUGAAGUUUACAGAGAUUAAGUUUUUCCAUGGGGCCACACAGCUAGUGAGAGAUGAGGCUGGGACUGAACUCAGGCAGCCCAGCUCCAGACACUCAGUUGUGUAAAUAUAGAUAUUAGUGACAACGUUUGUAGUGUGGAGUAGCAAUUCUUAAUUCUUCACUAAUGGCGAGAUAGAGUAAAACUAGCUGCCCUUGUACGGAACAUUCUGUGACAAAUCCAGUGACGCCUUCUUACCGUGAUUCUUCUCCAGAUCUCAGGAGUCAUGGGAACUAAUUGCAAAUCAAAUGGCUCUAAUUUGCUACUUUCAAGUCAAGGAGGCCACAGAAGAAGAAUUUCAAGAAGGGAGUAGAGGACAAUGUUAAAUGCUGCAGAGAGAAAGUAAAAUGGGAACUGGGAAGAUUCCAUCAGAUUUGCAAUUAGACUUUGUGAACUAAAAUAUCUCUUGUGUCCUGGGAUACCAAGAGAUUUUUUUCCUUGCGUAAUUUUGAUGAAAUAGGUCAUAUACACAUGGUGCUAAAUUCAAAACACAGAAGAGGAAGACAGCGAAAAGCCUCUGGGUCUCCCCUCCCAUCCCUGCACCCCAGGCGCCCAGGUUCCUUUCCAGGAAGCAAACAAUAUUACCAAUUUAUUGUGCAUCCUUACUCUAUACACAUCUAAUAAAUAAGUGUAU
Long non-coding RNA from Equus asinus (donkey), 1839 nucleotides. NCBI's taxonomy places the organism in Eukaryota, Metazoa, Chordata, Mammalia, Perissodactyla, Equidae. The record is from Ensembl.